Molecule: ribosomal RNA, 398 nt
Filed under: uncultured bacterium
Lineage: Bacteria
Description: bacterial SSU rRNA
Rfam family: Bacterial small subunit ribosomal RNA
Source: RNAcentral
AUUGAACGCUGGCGGCAUGCUUUACACAUGCAAGUCGAGCGGCAGCGCGGGGGCAACCCUGGCGGCGAGCGGCGGACGGGUGAGUAAUGCAUCGGAACGUAUCCCGUAGUGGGGGACAACCCAGCGAAAGCUGGGCUAAUACCGCAUAUGCUCUACGGAGGAAAGCAGGGGACUCGCAAGAGCCUUGUGCUAUGGGAGCGGCCGAUGUCCGAUUAGCUAGUUGGUGGGGUAAAGGCUUACCAAGGCGACGAUCGGUAGCUGGUCUGAGAGGAUGAUCAGCCACACUGGGACUGAGACACGGCCCAGACUCCUACGGGAGGCAGCAGUGGGGAAUUUUGGACAAUGGGGGCAACCCUGAUCCAGCCAUGCCGCGUGCGGGAAGAAGGCCUUCGGGUUGU